CAGUAGCCGCGGGAAUACGUAGGUGACAAGCGUUGUCCGGAAUUAUUGGGCGUAAAGGGCUCGCAGGCGGUUUCUUAAGUCUGAUGUGGAAGCCCCCGGCUCAACCGGGGAGGGUCAUUGGAAACUGGGAAACUUGAGUGCAGAAGAGGAGAGUGGAAUUCCACGUGUAGCGGUGAAAUGCGUAGAGAUGUGGAGGAACACCAGUGGCGAAGGCGACUCUCUGGUCUGUAACUGACGCUGAGGAGCGAAAGCGUGGGGAGCGAACAGGAUUAGAUACCCCGGUAGUCCCUGUCUCUUAUAC
Molecule: ribosomal RNA, 301 nt
Filed under: uncultured bacterium
Lineage: Bacteria
Description: partial 16S ribosomal RNA
Rfam family: Bacterial small subunit ribosomal RNA
Source: RNAcentral